RNAcentral lists this small RNA (28 nucleotides) under Bombyx mori (domestic silkworm). RNAcentral describes it as "ovarian small RNA-21385". Lineage: Eukaryota; Metazoa; Arthropoda; Insecta; Lepidoptera; Bombycidae. The record is from RNAcentral.
UACUCGACCAGUCAACCAAAGGUAGUGC